GCGUGGGCUAAUCGAGGAUUUCUCAAUUGCACUGAUUGUUAUUUGUCGUAGUGCCCAGGGAAGCUUUCAUAUUGAUAUGAUAGGAUAGAAAAUUUCUCAAGAGGCAGACGUGACUAUUGGCUUGCAUCAUAAUGUAAUUUUGUCUGGAAGGUAGAACUGUUUGUCAUGAAAAAUACAUGGAAUGGUGAAUUCUGAGUGAGGUAAAUAGGAGAGAUGUCUUACUCUCGAAUCUAUUUAGAGCCUGGAAGGUCUUACCUUGGAUGGAUUAGUUCUUUGCCGUGAACUAACAUAAAAAAUUAUGAGGAAAGAAGAAAAAAAGAGAGCAGUGAGGUGCUUGGGGAGUGCUUGUGCAUGUAUAUGUAAAUGAGUGAAGAGUAAAGAAGUGAGUAUGUUUUAGCUAAAUCUUCACAGUGCCAUGCCAACAUCUUCUCUGUUUGCUAUUCAUUCUUUGAGAUUGUAAAGAAUUUCGGUCCUCAUUUAAUCGGUAGUAAAUUGAUCGUUGUCCAUCCUUGCACAUGAGUCCUAUAUGAAACUAAAUAAACAUUGAAGUGUGUUUGCCAAAUUCGAGUGCAACCGUGUUGAUUCUGCUGUUCAUAUGCUUAUUGUUGGAUCAAACUUGUUAUUCUCUUCUUGUUGGAUUAGACUUGUCAUCCUUUCUGCUAGUGCUUACAAUGUUAUGUUUACUGGACAUGUCUCCCUUGUGAAUGAGCAGCGGAGUCUACUGAAAUCCGCUGAAUAUUCUGCCGAGAGCUUGUCUCUCAAAAUGGAAGCUCAGGAAGGUCGCUGACUGCACUUGACAAGGCCCUGCGAGGACGAAAUCGAAGUUAUCCAUCACUGGGUGAAACUCCUGCUCUUUCCGUAUCCGCAUUGCUUUCAACUUGAAAGGUUCGAGUACAGGUAUAUCCAUGUAAAUUUGGUGAGGAAAGAUCAAUUCAGUACAGAUCCAUUGUACGCAUUGAUUUACUUAUUUGCUGUCUCCAACACAAGAUCAAAACACGAGUCUCUCUUCUUGAUUUUACAGCUUACCCAAUCACUCCUCAAGAUCCCAACACCAAUCUCUCUUCUUCUCCCCAUCUUUCUCCCCCCUUAUCGAGCCCCCACAACCACACGUGGCUUGUGUCAUUGACAUGCCUCUGGUGCCACCAUCAAUCUUGACCUUCCUCGCUCCGCCAUUCAAUGCCGGUGCCUAUGAAGGGUCAUGUAAUGCUCCAUUCACUCUCUCUCCCCUAUCGCUUCAAUGUCAGCCGUCAUCCCUGCUUUCGUGUAGCUAUCUCUCUCCCUCUCUUGGAUAAGGACAGAUGAGCUCACCUGAACGUCAAGUUUAUGCCUUUGGAGGGUCCCAAGACCCAGCGUUGAGCUCCCCUCAUCAUUUACAAUUACUUUGUCGACAAUGACGAAAUCAGAAGGUCAUCUCAAGAUUUGGGGAUGCCUCAUCCAUCUACCUAUCCAUUGAGAUUGAGGUGAGAUCUCAAAGGCCAUGGCCAGAUCAGGUCAUCAAUGGUGGUGCCGAGACCUUAUAGAGAUUUGGUGGUGAGAGAAGAGACAGAGUGAGGAGAGAGUGUUUUCGGUUUGCAAAUAGAGAAAACAAAUAUGGUCGUGGAUGACACAACGGAGAUAACAGCAAGAUGUGGAGGAGUGACGGUGCUGACAAAUGGUCAUAACGGUCGGAGACGGUAGCUAAUGGUGAAGAAUGAGAGGGUUGAUUGAGUAGGAAGACUAUUAUUAGCCAAUGUGAUGAGCACACUGAGAAGUGCAACAAAUAUAGGUCCAUGUUUCCUUUUUGAUCUUGUCUUGUUUAUUAUUUUGUCAACUUUGUAUCUCCAUUA
Eucalyptus grandis is the source of this 1826-nucleotide long non-coding RNA. RefSeq lists it as uncharacterized. The record is from RefSeq and is a predicted model, not a curated record. The transcript has 3 exons. Lineage: Eukaryota; Viridiplantae; Streptophyta; Magnoliopsida; Myrtales; Myrtaceae.